UGCUGCUCGCCGCUUCUCCGGGAAGGCGGCGUGAGCCAGCAGUCAGUAGAGGGCAAUAGAGAAAUACAGUUUGUGAUGCCUAAAGGAUUCGAAGCCCUGAUUAUGUGUUUACAGAAAAGAAAAAGAAGAAAAGAAGAGCCAGGAGGAUAGGUUGUUCAGUUUACUACCGGAGACCUGACUGUGACAGACCACCAAGAAAACAAAAUUUUCAAAGAGAGUAGAGAAGACCUUCUGCAGCAUCUGCAAGUCUGUCCUUUUUUCUUCAGAGUUACGUAGGAUAACUUGGCCAGAACUUAUUGAUGUCUGCAUGUUCAGUGGACUCGGGGAUGGACUGGGAGAUGCGGAAAUGUACUCUUUGGAAGAAACAGGAGAGGAGGCAUUUCAAAGAUCCUGCAGGUGACAAAGGUGAUGAUCUGCUGACAGAAUAAAUAAACCAUAGAAAGUGCCAAGGCUGCACAGGCAUUUGCUGUGGUAUCACUCCCACAUGAGGAACCUUUGUCACAGUCUUUCUUCAAGUAUGUUCUCUCCUGUGGGUUCAUUAUUUUUCAGAGGAUGGGUCUUUCUGCCCUGCAGGGAUCUAUCUAUCACUGCUGACUCUCUGCAUCUUCUCCACAUGGAAGAAGUAAUUGGAUUGUAUUUUCUGCACACGACCAAGACAGCAGGGAAACCCACAGCUGUAAGACAGAGAACCAAGCUGUCUAGAGACAUGCCUAAUAAUGUCAUCACGACUAAGCACAUGAGGAGGAUGAGGUGUCCCAUAGCCAGCCGUGAAACAUGCCAAAGAUCAAAACCAAAAGUGACUGGACCUCAGACAAAGGAGGAGAAGGGAAGUUGUUGAGGUGCCCACACAGAUGUCCAAUUACAAUUCCACCAAGGUGCAUUUGAAACUGUGUCACAGCUCAGCCUCUUCUCCCCAGUGCCUGUGGAGGCAGCUUCCAGCAUGAUAUAUCCCAUCUUUGACUCACCAGAAGACAUGCUUCAAUUCAGCUAGAAAAUGGGAACUUAAGGAAAGAGCUUGAAAGUCUGUGGCAAGCCUAUGAGGACUGAUGUACAACACAAUUGUAAAGUUUAAUUCUAGACUGAAAAUCAAUGAAUAUACAAAGAUUCAUAUUUCUAAGAAAACAAAGACAUAAAUCCACAGCCAUUUUGACAAAUGAUGUGCAGAUUUCUCCUGGGGAACAUGCAAAGAAGGCCCACACCUACGGAAAGGCUGUCCCAGGAUUAUGUCACCUACAUGUAUCAUGGAGGAAUUUUCUUCUUGGCUGCUCAGAGGAGGAUUUUUAACAUUUGCCUUUCAUU
Camarhynchus parvulus is the source of this 1299-nucleotide long non-coding RNA. RefSeq lists it as uncharacterized. The record is from RefSeq and is a predicted model, not a curated record. The transcript has 5 exons. NCBI's taxonomy places the organism in Eukaryota, Metazoa, Chordata, Aves, Passeriformes, Thraupidae.